This 205-nucleotide microRNA precursor is filed under the name Oryza rufipogon (brownbeard rice). Its description in RNAcentral is "MIR812 microRNA precursor family". It matches the Rfam family "MIR812 microRNA precursor family". Lineage: Eukaryota; Viridiplantae; Streptophyta; Magnoliopsida; Poales; Poaceae. The record is from Rfam by way of RNAcentral.
AAUAUGUUGACACCAUUGACUUUUUAGCACAUGUUUGACCGUUCGUCUUAUUCAAAAAAUUUAAGCAAUUAUUAAUUCUUUUCCUAUCAUUUGAUUCGUUGUUAAAUAUAUUUUUAUGUAGGCAUAUAAUUUUACAUAUUUCACAAAAUUUUUGAAUAAGACGAAUGGUCAAACAUGUGCUAAAAAGUCAACGGUGUCAAACAUU